Molecule: ribosomal RNA, 472 nt
Filed under: uncultured bacterium
Lineage: Bacteria
Description: bacterial SSU rRNA
Rfam family: Bacterial small subunit ribosomal RNA
Source: RNAcentral
UGGGGAAUUUUGGACAAUGGGGGCAACCCUGAUCCAGCCAUGCCGCGUGAGUGAAGAAGGCCUUCGGGUUGUAAAGCUCUUUCGGCGGGGACGAAACGGUUCGUGUUAACACCACGGACUAAUGACGGUACUCGCAGAAGAAGCACCGGCUAACUACGUGCCAGCAGCCGCGGUAAUACGUAGGGUGCAGGCGUUAAUCGGAAUUACUGGGCGUAAAGCGUGCGCAGGCGGCUCCUUAAGUCAGAUGUGAAAGCCCCGGGCUUAACCUGGGAACUGCGUUUGAAACUGGGGAGCUAGAGUGUAGAAGAGGGGGGUGGAAUUCCAGGUGUAGCAGUGAAAUGCGUAGAGAUCUGGAGGAACACCGAUGGCGAAGGCAGCCCCCUGGGCUAACACUGACGCUCAUGCACGAAAGCGUGGGGAGCAAACAGGAUUAGAUACCCCAGUAGUCCCUGAGCGGGCUGGCAAGGCGCAU